UAGCUCAGUUGGUAGAGUGCUUGCCUCACAUGCACAAGGCCCUGGGUUCAAUUCCCAG
Molecule: non-coding RNA, 58 nt
Organism: Ictidomys tridecemlineatus (thirteen-lined ground squirrel)
Lineage: Eukaryota; Metazoa; Chordata; Mammalia; Rodentia; Sciuridae
Source: Rfam